Molecule: long non-coding RNA, 1260 nt
Organism: Xenopus tropicalis (tropical clawed frog)
Lineage: Eukaryota; Metazoa; Chordata; Amphibia; Anura; Pipidae
Exons: 2
Source: RefSeq, a predicted model, not a curated record
UGGCUGCAUGUUGUGUCCCAAGCAGAGCUCCAUAUGAGCCCGGGAGCAGACUGUAGGCCCCAGAAGCCAUUGUACCCUAGGGAACAGUAUACCUCUAGUGAAAGUCAGGGACAGGGCCUCGUGAACGAGGAUAAGUAAUCACAGCAGAAUAUUUAAUAGCACCCUGUUAAAGAUACCACACUUUUAAUGCUAAAUAACAUUUAAUGUCACAAAUGAUAAAGUUCAUUGCUUGUGUGCAAACAUCAAAUUCCCCUUCAUAUCUCUGCCUUUGAUCUAUUUUUGCUCAAGUUACAGCUUCUGCUUGUGGUUAAAAGACAUGCGCUAUGCUACAAGGUACAAGGAAACGAAACAAGACAAGGCUAAGAUCGCACCUGCCCCCCCCAGCGUUGUGUCGACAUCAACAGGAAAAGCAGAAGAACAGAUGGAUGGCCAGAGAAGGCCAGAAGGGCAACUGCCUAAAACGGACAAAAACAAGGACAGUUGGACUAUAUAAAGGGCUGGGGUGGGGCACGAGCUUACUUCUCUUGCAGACUGAGCAGGGUGUUAGACACCAGUCUCAUGUAAGUUUGCCUGAGAACUCUGCAUGCGAAUAAAUCUUCCUCUUCUGAUCAACUAUAAGUUUCCUCUGGUGCUUCGAAUACAGGAGUGAUCCACAUAGCAUUCAAAUUUUGGUCCUUCGAGCCGGAGACACUGGUCACCGACGCCCGGGCAGCCGGCCCGAACGAGCGUCCACAUUGACAACACGGACGCGAAAGACCUCCGGUCCUCCACGGAGAGACUGUUAAGAGAGGCCGUUUGGGGCGACUCCCUGGCGCUGGGACAGCUGUCUCCACCGAACCACAAACAGAGGAAAUCGAUCAGGAGAAUAAGACCGACCUACCCACUGCUGUGCAUUGACCCUUGAACCUAUCUCCGUGACCUACACCUGUAAAGUUUACAGCUUCUGCUUGUGGUUAAAAGACAUCCGCUAUGCUACAAGGUACAAGGAAACGAAACAAGACAAGGCUAAGAUCGCACCUGCCCCCCCCCCAGCGUUGUGUCGACAUCAACAGGAAAAGCAGAAGAACAGAUGGAUGGCCAGAAAAGGCCAGAAGGGCAACUGCCUAAAACGGACAAAAACAAGGACAGUUGGACUAUAUAAAGGGCUGGGGUGGGGCACGAGCUUACUUCUCUUGCAGACUGAGCAGGGUGUUAGACACCAGUCUCAUGUAAGUUUGCCUGAGAACUCUGCAUGCGAAUAAAUCUUCCUCUUCUGAUCAA